GACGAACGCUGGCGGCGUGCUUAAUACAUGCAAGUCGAGCGAGGCCUUGGAAUUGGAGUCCUUCGGGAUGAAGAGUCCUUGGCCUAGCGGCGGACGGGUGGAGUAACGCGUGGGCAACCUACCCCAAAGUCCGGGAUAACAGUGGGAAACCGCUGCUAAUACCGGAUGACUUUACCUGAGGGCAUCCUCGGGUAAAGAAAGGUUACGCUUUGGGAUGGGCCUGCGUCCCAUUAGCUAGUUGGUGAGGUAACGGCUCACCAAGGCGACGAUGGGUAGCCGGCCUGAGAGGGUGAACGGCCACACUGGGACUGAGACACGGCCCAGACUCCUACGGGAGGCAGCAGUAGGGAAUAUUGCGCAAUGGGCGGAAGCCUGACGCAGCGACGCCGCGUGAGCGAAGAAGGCCUUCGGGUCGCAAAGUCUGUCCUUGGGGAGAAGGCGAAAGACUUGACGGUACCCAAGAAGAAAGACCCCGGCUAAACUACGUAGCCAGCAGCCGGCGGUAAACUCGUCUCUA
Molecule: ribosomal RNA, 517 nt
Filed under: uncultured bacterium
Lineage: Bacteria
Description: bacterial SSU rRNA
Rfam family: Bacterial small subunit ribosomal RNA
Source: RNAcentral